This is a non-coding RNA of Podarcis lilfordi (Lilford's wall lizard), 69 nucleotides long. NCBI's taxonomy places the organism in Eukaryota, Metazoa, Chordata, Lepidosauria, Squamata, Lacertidae. The record is from the annotation of a GenBank genome assembly.
GCAGAUAGCUCAGUCCAUAGAGCAUGAGACUCAAUUUCAGGGUCGUGGGUUUGAGCCCCACGUUGGGCA